Molecule: long non-coding RNA, 1192 nt
Organism: Leptonychotes weddellii (Weddell seal)
Lineage: Eukaryota; Metazoa; Chordata; Mammalia; Carnivora; Phocidae
Source: RefSeq, a predicted model, not a curated record
UGGGGGUGUCCAUGUUCUGCUGUGGCCCUCUGCACCCAGUGGGGCCCUGGACUCAGGCCCGGCAAGGAUUGGGGUCCAGCAUGCUCACCUGGGGUGUUCUGAGGCAGGGCAUGGCAGCAGCCAUCCUUACCCAGGGCUGGCAGCACCGUAAUUGUUUGGAGGGUGACUCGCGGGGGACAGGCCUUUUGCCCACCUCCAGUCCAGGUACUGAGCAAGUCCCAGUGCUGAGGUUGCAAUCCUUUCGGGGCCCACCGUCAGCUGCGGGGUCUACGGCUGGAGAGAGGGAGUCUGAGUGCCUGUGAAGACCUGCACUUACCCUAGUUGCACUGCUUGCUGUUCCUGGGUUGGAAGAUGGGGGCUCUGGAGACUCUGGCUGGCUGGCCAGCCCGCCAGCGGAGAAGGGCUGUUUACCAUAUGGAUGGCAGUGUGGAGCAGCCUGCCCCAGGGUGCAUUCAUCUCAGCUUUAUUGAAAGCCAUUUCCUGAAGGAUGAGAUGUGUUCCAAGCAAACAAGGAAGUGAAAAAACAAACAUGCAACCAUGGGAUCAAGAAAACAGAAUCCAACAUAGAAGGGUUGUGAAAGGGAAGUCCUGGGAUGAAGCUGCAUCAUAGUCUGGAGAGGGGCCAGUCUAGCCCGGAGCAGGAGGACCCAGACAGAGGAUUUAUUUCCAAUAAAAUAUGGAAUUGAUACAUUAACCAUUUGAGUAGUUUUAUAGUUCAGACAGAGAAUUUGGGGGUGAAUAAAUGGACAGGGCCUUCAAAGAUAGAACAAACCAAAAUCCGAGUUAAUUAUUAACUCCAGGGAAAAUGAACAAUUGCACAAGAAAGGAAAUAUAAAUGAUGUGGUUCAGCCAUCAACAAGAUUUAUGUGGUCCCAUUAAUAUAAAAAUGAAUAGAGAAUAUAAUCACUUUGGGAAUGAGGGAGGGAAAUGGUGUGUGAGUGGAGGGCAUAAAAGAAAUCAUUCCUCAUUUUCUGUAGUAAGAAAUCAAUAGAUAAUGUGUCAAAUGAAAAGGUCAAGAAAAGUAGUAGAAACAUCUAAUUUGGGAUUUACAAAGAAAACAUGAGAAAAAUGUUUCAAAGAAUUGAAGGUAGUGUCUCUGAGACAUGGUAGCUUUGGAGUGGGUAAGGAUAAGCAGAGGAUGUGUUUUUCAUAAACAGGGUUUGUUGGAAGAGUCUCAGUUUAUUCUUGUUAG